CACCAGGGUCAAGAGGGGAGGCUGGCAGGGGCAGGGCAGGGGUAAAGGCACAGGACACAGUCCAAGCCCCCUACUGCUGUCCUGCAUGGUUGCUCAAAGGCUAACGAGUUUUCAAGAGUGCCCACAGCAAGAAGCUAGUCCCAGAGAGGGCUGAAUUCUCCAUCUUCCCUACGGGACAGUCCUUCAGUCCCCUGUGGCCGGAACUGGACCCCCAUCACCCUUCCAGGGAGGAAGGCAACAUGAGGACUCAAAGCAUCAUAGGUAACAGCAGCGGUUUCUCUUCCGGCGUGUACACAGGCGCAUGCGCGCACACGGGGGCAUGCGCACAUGCGUGCAAAAGGACGCAUGCGCAAAUAUGGACAUGGAGCGGAGACCUCGCUGUGUUUCACGCGCUUCCAGGGAUCACACAGGAGUUAUUUGGAAAAUUGUUUGAAAAGUGGCACUAGACCGUCUCCAACUACUUUCCAGUUCUGGAAAAUUGUCAGUCUGUGAUUUUUCACUUCAGAUGUAGCGGCCACAGAUUUACAGCGUCGUCACACUCAUUAAAUGAAACCGAACAGCCUCAGAUUCCAGAAAGUUCUAAAGCAACCGGGAGAAUGCCCUCUUCUGUGAAGAGGGACCCAAGUAAUGCACUAAGGUUACUUUUAAUCCAAUCUCAGUUACGUAUCCCCUAAGCUCCUGCCAAGUAGUUAGCCGUCUAUUAAAAAACACUUUGGUAGAGAAGCUGUGGCUAUUAGAACCCAUCAAUAAAUCAGUUUAUUGGAUGACAACCUUCAGCUAUGUCAAUUUAAAAACAAAAAAUCAUGUCCAUG
Mustela erminea (ermine) is the source of this 812-nucleotide long non-coding RNA. RefSeq lists it as uncharacterized. Lineage: Eukaryota; Metazoa; Chordata; Mammalia; Carnivora; Mustelidae. The transcript is spliced from 3 exons. The record is from RefSeq and is a predicted model, not a curated record.